CCUACGGGAGGCAGCAGUGGGGAAUUUUCCGCAAUGGGCGAAAGCCUGACGGAGCAAGACCGCGUGGGGGAGGAAGGUCUAUUGAUUGUAAACCCCUUUUCCAAGGAAAGAAAAAAAUGACGGUACCUUGGGAAUAAGCAUCGGCUAACUCUGUGCCAGCAGCCGCGGUAAUACAGAGGAUGCAAGCGUUAUCCGGAAUUAUUGGGCGUAAAGAGUCCGUAGGGGGCUAGUCAAGUCUGUCGUUAAAGACCGCAGCUUAACUGCGGAGAGGCGAUGGAAACUGAAGAGCUAGAGAGCAGUAGGGGCAGAGGGAAUUCCCAGUGUAGCGGUGAAAUGCGUAGAGAUUGGGAAGAACAUCGGUGGCGAAAGCGCUCUGCUGGGCUGAAUCUGACCCUGAGGGACGAAAGCUAGGGUAGCAAAAGGGAUUAGAUACCCUUGUAGUC
RNAcentral lists this ribosomal RNA (443 nucleotides) under uncultured Coleofasciculus sp. RNAcentral describes it as "bacterial SSU rRNA". It matches the Rfam family "Bacterial small subunit ribosomal RNA", at positions 338 to 795 of the family's 1533-position model. Lineage: Bacteria; Bacillati; Cyanobacteriota; Cyanophyceae; Coleofasciculales; Coleofasciculaceae. The record is from RNAcentral.